GACGAACGCUGGCGGCGCGCCUAACACAUGCAAGUCGAACGGAGCUGAGAGAAGCUUGCUUUUCUUAGCUUAGUGGCGAACGGGUGAGUAACGCGUGAGUAACCUGCCCUGGAGUGGGGGACAACAGUUGGAAACGACUGCUAAUACCGCAUAAGCCCACGAUCCGGCAUCGGAUUGAGGGAAAAGGAUUUAUUCGCUUCAGGAUGGACUCGCGUCCAAUUAGCUAGUUGGUGAGGUAACGGCCCACCAAGGCGACGAUUGGUAGCCGGACUGAGAGGUUGAACGGCCACAUUGGGACUGAGACACGGCCCAGACUCCUACGGGAGGCAGCAGUGGGGGAUAUUGCACAAUGGGGGAAACCCUGAUGCAGCGACGCCGCGUGGAGGAAGAAGGUUUUCGGAUUGUAAACUCCUGUCGUUAGGGGCGAUAAUGACGGUACCUAACAAGAAAGCACCGGCUAACUACGUG
Molecule: ribosomal RNA, 468 nt
Filed under: uncultured bacterium
Lineage: Bacteria
Description: partial 16S ribosomal RNA
Rfam family: Bacterial small subunit ribosomal RNA
Source: RNAcentral